AUGGAUUUUGUACUGUAGAUAUGUGGUAGUGGUGGAGUAGGUGACUGAGAGCACACAGUGUGUUGUAGAUAUGAGGUAGUGGUGGAGUAGGUGACUGAGAGCACACAGUGUGUUGUGAAAUCUGUGAAUGUAUUGUAAUGUUUUUAAAAUUGUAUAAACUGCCUUAAUUUUGCCAGACCCCAGGAAGAGUAGCUGCUGCCUUGGUAGCAGCUAAUGGGGAUCCAUAAUAAAUACGAAUAACAACCCUGUUCCUGGAGAGCUACCGAUCUGUAGGUGUUUGCUCCAACCCUGUUCCUGGAGAGCUACCAAUCUGUAGGUGUUUGCUCCAACCCUGUUCCUGGAGAGCUACCGAUCUGUAGGUGUUUGCUCCAACCCUGUUCCUGGAGAGCUACCAAUCUGUAGGUGUUUGCUCCAACCCUGUUCCUGGAGAGCUACCAAUCUG
Long non-coding RNA from Oncorhynchus tshawytscha (Chinook salmon), 442 nucleotides. The record is from Ensembl. Lineage: Eukaryota; Metazoa; Chordata; Actinopteri; Salmoniformes; Salmonidae.